This is a long non-coding RNA of Brassica rapa (field mustard), 1220 nucleotides long. RefSeq lists it as uncharacterized. The record is from RefSeq and is a predicted model, not a curated record. NCBI's taxonomy places the organism in Eukaryota, Viridiplantae, Streptophyta, Magnoliopsida, Brassicales, Brassicaceae.
CAAAAAAAAAAAUUUGUUUUUGGACAACCAAAAAAGCUUUUACACAUAUUAUUAAAGGACACGGAUAAUAUAAACAGACAAUGUGUGGAAUAUCCCCAAUUAAGGUUCAAAUUUGUUGAAUGCCCAUAAUUAUGGAUAACCCAAAAAGGAGUAACUUUUUGACACUGUGUGGACGAAAAUGCCCUUAUGCUUUGUCGAAAACAAGUAACUCUAGAUCUAUCAGCUAAAUAUUUACAUAGCAGGUAACAAUCUACAUACCAACUAACAUAUCCGCUAAUAAUUUCAGUAUCAUCUAACAAUCUAUGUAUCAAACAAAUGUAUCGACUAACAAAUCAUAUAUCAGUUAAUGAAAUUAUUAACAAUUAAUUAGUUAUCUAUUAAAUAGCUUCAAAUCUAUUUGUAACAGCUAACACUUUAUGUAUCGAUUAAGAAUCCAUUAAAAUCUAAAUAAUAGCAGGUAAGUAAUAAAAUACCUGCUAACAUAUAUAUUAUCUAAAAAUUGAUUGUGAUUCGAAAUUGGAAACAUUGGAAUUAGGGUGAGAUAAUAAGAUUAACAUUAUGGGUGUCAAAAAAAUCUGAAUAAAAAAAUAAAGAUUUGUGUUGAAUUAAAAGAUAAUUUGAAGAAUUUGUACGAGAGAUAAAGAAAUUAGAACACAUAAAAGGGAGAAGAGAGAGAGAUAGAGAUACGGAUAUUAUAGUCACUAAAAAUAUUUAAAAAAAAACAAGAUUAUAUGGCAAAUUACAUAGGUUUCUGGGUGCAUCUAUACCAAUUACUCUUGAUUCAAUGAGUUAAAUCAUAUCACUGGUCAUGGUGUCUAAUAAGUUAUACCUACUAUUGCAUUUGGUAUAAUUCCCAUUUGGCGCCUCCCAUAUAUACACUCGAUUAUUUUUGUGCAUAAUAAGUAUUUACAAAAUAAAAAAUAUCAUAAUUAUUUACUAAACUAUUGAAUUUUCAUUUAUUGGAUUUUUUUUAAAAAAUACAGUAGAAUCAAAAAAUUCAAACCAAAAAUUAAAUAUCUGAAAACUAAAAACUAGAACCAAAAUCCGGUACAACAGAAGGGAUUCAAUACAAAACCAGUAAACAUGGUAAAUUUAGAUGAACAAAGGAUAUAAAAUCACCACACAGAGUUUAAACAACUGUCUUACGAAAUAUUCUCUGACGUUAUCAUACCAAGCAGAUAUUCACAAAACCAAACUUUAAAACGAAAAAGAAACAACAA